Harmonia axyridis is the source of this 906-nucleotide long non-coding RNA. RefSeq lists it as uncharacterized. The transcript has 2 exons. Lineage: Eukaryota; Metazoa; Arthropoda; Insecta; Coleoptera; Coccinellidae. The record is from RefSeq and is a predicted model, not a curated record.
AAUCCAACAAAUAUAGUGUUCCUAACUGUGGAGAUAUCUAUAGUAAACGUCAUCGUUUUCGAAUGAAGAUAAGCAGCCAACAAUUUUUAAACUUUUGCUCAAAAAAGUUAGUUAUCCAUUGCUCAACUCUAAAACUCCUCAACAAAUCCGCAAGAAGUGAAAUUAGAUAGCCUUAAAGGAAUUUGGGCCACUGCUAUCCCUGAAUUAUUUCUUCCUGGAUCUUCAAAUCAAGGGGAGGACAGAGAAGUUCAUGAAACUGAAGGAGUUCAUCUCCAAAGUGAUGUUGAGAGGGAAGUAUCAACAGAGACUUUGAAGAAUUUUAAGCAGCCUCAGAAAACUUCAAUAUUUCAAUAUAUAGAAAAAGGUUAACUGAAAAUGAACGUUUUCUAUCAAAAUGUCUGAGCGAUCCGAUUAGAAAACUGAGAAUUAUCCAAAAAAAAGUUUCAUUAUACAAAGAGCACCUAAAAAAUGUAGAGAAACUUAAUUCAUCAGCAAAUUUCAGUAGACUGAUGAAUUAUGUUUCUCCAACAGCUUUUAAUUGGGCACACUUUUGGAAGUAGUUGUGAGUUCCAACAUUUUAAACAAAUAGUAUAGUAGAGUUUUCAAUUCUGAUCGAGUCAAUUUAGAAUAUUUAUUGCAAUGAAUUUGAUGAAAAUAUAAGUAUCUACUUAUGAAUGUUUUGCUUCCUACAGAUAUCGAGGACAACAAUUAAUUGACGCUAGAAGCUGUGGGCACUGCAGAGCUAAUCCUUUUUAUGGAUAACCUGUUUGAUAGCCUGAAUAUGCAAUUGUGAAGGGCACUGAUACAAAAUUCAAAACUUCUGGAGUUAUGUGUGACCCAAUUAAAAAUUUGGCAUACUAGAAAUAUUUGAAAAAUGUAAAACUUUAAAUAGAUGAUUUUUUUAUA